Melospiza melodia melodia is the source of this 2244-nucleotide long non-coding RNA. RefSeq lists it as uncharacterized. The transcript is spliced from 7 exons. The record is from RefSeq and is a predicted model, not a curated record. NCBI's taxonomy places the organism in Eukaryota, Metazoa, Chordata, Aves, Passeriformes, Passerellidae.
UGCCACAUGGUCUGCUGCAAUAGGAGAAGCCUGGGGAGUUGAAAUUUGUAACGUGGGCUUUACUUGGGCUGUAGAUGCUAUUCCUAGGUUGACAGGAGGUGUUUCCAGCUUGUGAAUUAUUGUCGAGGUGUUUGACAUACGUUCUAACUUUCUUUCAGGUCCGGAUGCUUUGCAUCCAGGGCAGAGGGUCAGGGUUAGGAGGUGCCGGGCCUUCUUUGGAGCACGCGGUCUGAGAGACACUAGCCCGGUGGCAGCAGGACCUUCCCAGGUGACGAGGAAGUCAAGGCAGAGAGCAGCUGUCAAGGCUGGGUGGGCAUAGGAAGUCAAGGCAGAGAGCAGCUGUCAAGGCUGAGUGGGCAAGAUGGACUGCUUGCCAUCUAUCCUAGCCCAGCAUGCCCAUGCCAGGUGCUGUCGCUGCCCUAGGCAUGCCGGGGAAGAGAGGAGGGCAGGUGACUCGGUGUUUAGGCAGGCUGAUUCCUAGGUGAGCGUUAUGCAGCAGCAUGCUAAGUGUGUACAUUUUCUUUUUGCAGGUAUCUUCCGGGCGGCCUCUGGAGUCAAAUCAAGACUUGAGGUACCCUGGGGAGGCUUGUAGCCACAGCUUGGAAGCGGCAGCACCGAAGCACACACAUCGAGAACAUCUCAACGUCCAUGUCCGACCGAGGAUGGAUUUUGUCCACUUGUCUUCCAAAAGCUAAGUGUCGGGGCCAGUGGUUGGGAGAAGGGGAAAAGCCUUUACUAUCACAGGAGGCAAUCUGAUGUCAGCUUAGCGGAGAGGUCUGUAGUGGGACGGGCUCCCUGGAAGUAAAGGGAGAGGGUUUCUCCUCAGCCUCACCAGAGCCUUUGCCGGGCAGGGCAGUUCCAACCCAUCUCCACAUUCUCAUGAACUUUGCGUCAUCUGCCUUCCUCGACUUGACGUCGUCACGACUCUUUCCCCCGUGGAGCUCGCCUUCUGGUCCAGAGCUGUAGCCGCAGUCACCUGGCAGUCCGCUUCCUUCUCUAGGCUUGCUGAGCCUCUCGAGCAUCCUCCUAACUGCUUUGGCCCUAACUUCCUUUAAUGAGUUGCAUUUCAUCAUCACGUGCUGUUGUCAUAGGGCUUCCUUUCCCUUGGCCUCAUUGGCCUCUGGCUCGUCUUGUGCUAGGACUCUCGGGUCCCUAAAGGGAAAGUGCCAAGCAGUUGCAACUUGUCUCUGUGUUCUGUCAUCUGGGUCUAUGUUAUGGUGUCUGUGUUAUGUAGUGUGUGUCCAUUGUCUUCCCCGUCAUAGGCCUUUGUUACAUCUCGAUGCUUUAUCGGCUCUCUUCUGUGCCAUAUAGGCUGUGUUCUACUCACAUUCCUUUCCGGAUAUCCCUUAUUCCAGCAUCUUUACAUUUUUACUCUUUGAGACAGGAAUGUCUCACAGGAACAAGAUGUUCUCAUCCAUCUUCCUUCUCACUAUCAGCUUUGGUAGUGUUUUUUUUUCCAUUUUCUUGGACUUCUAGAGGGAGCAUCUUACACCCUCCUCACGUGACUGCAGUAGUUCUAUAGGUUCCAUCUUCUCAAAGGGUACAGGGCUCAAUAAGUAAUCUUCCAGAGAGUUAUCUUAAGUUGUGGUUUAUAUUGUAUGUUCCUAUAUUGGCUUAUGUUGUAUGUACUUAUACUGUAUGUACCUAUGCUGGCUUAUACUGUAUGUACUUACAUGGCAUGUACCUAUGCUGGCUUAUACUGUAUGUACCUAUGUUGGCUUAUAUUGCAUGUACUUACAUUGAAUGUACUUCGGUUGGUUCAUAUUGUGUGUACCUGUGUUGGCUUAUACUGUAUGUAAGUGCAUCGCCUUAUAUUGUCUGUACUUACACUGUAUGUAAGCAUGUCGCCUUAUAUUGUGUGUACUUACACUCUGUGCACUUGCACUGUAUGCGUCAGCUUAUAUUGUGUGUACUUACACUGUACCACUUAUGAUCGGAGCUGCCCUGCCCUGGCACGUAGUCACAGUUAGGUAGAACAGGUUUAACAACUUUACUGUUCAUCUGUCUUUCGUGGGAUUUUGGGUAGAAAAUUUAUCAGUCCAGAGUGGGGACAAGUCCUAGCUGUCAGCCGCUUGUUGACCCUUCCUGUUGUCUCACAGGUCCCCGAGGCUGCUGAUUUCCCCAGGAUCUGCCAUUUACCUCAAGGAGCGGCAGCCCGAAGAUGUGUCAAAGCACCUUCUUUAGCAUCUCAGGUUUUGCAACUCAUUGUUAAAUUGAGAAUAAAAAAUCCCCAGCUGCCUUCCA